GACGAACGCUGGCGGCGUGCUUAACACAUGCAAGUCGAACGGAAAGGCCCUGCUUUUGUGGGGUGCUCGAGUGGCGAACGGGUGAGUAACACGUGAGUAACCUGCCCUUGACUUUGGGAUAACUUCAGGAAACUGGGGCUAAUACCGGAUAGGAGCUCCUGCUGCAUGGUGGGGGUUGGAAAGUUUCGGCGGUUGGGGAUGGACUCGCGGCUUAUCAGCUUGUUGGUGGGGUAGUGGCUUACCAAGGCUUUGACGGGUAGCCGGCCUGAGAGGGUGACCGGCCACAUUGGGACUGAGGUACGGCCCAGACGCCUACGGGAGGCAGCAGUGGGGAAUAUUGCACAAUGGGCGGAAGCCUGAUGCAGCAACGCCGCGUGCGGGAUGACGGCCUUCGGGUUGUAAACCGCUUUCGCCUGUGACGAAGCGUGAGUGACGGUAAUGGGUAAAGAAGCACCGGCUAACUACGU
This 467-nucleotide ribosomal RNA is filed under the name uncultured bacterium. RNAcentral describes it as "partial 16S ribosomal RNA". It matches the Rfam family "Bacterial small subunit ribosomal RNA", at positions 28 to 506 of the family's 1533-position model. The record is from RNAcentral.